Molecule: ribosomal RNA, 447 nt
Filed under: uncultured bacterium
Lineage: Bacteria
Description: partial 16S ribosomal RNA
Rfam family: Bacterial small subunit ribosomal RNA
Source: RNAcentral
AACGAACGCUGGCGGCAGGCUUAACACAUGCAAGUCGAGCGCCCCGCAAGGGGAGCGGCAGACGGGUGAGUAACGCGUGGGAAUCUACCCAUCCCUACGGAAUAGCUCCGGGAAACUGGAAUUAAUACCGUAUACGCCCUACGGGGGAAAGAUUUAUCGGGGAUGGAUGAGCCCGCGUUGGAUUAGCUAGUUGGUGGGGUAAAGGCCUACCAAGGCGACGAUCCAUAGCUGGUCUGAGAGGAUGAUCAGCCACAUUGGGACUGAGACACGGCCCAAACUCCUACGGGAGGCAGCAGUGGGGAAUAUUGGACAAUGGGGGCAACCCUGAUCCGGCCAUGCCGCGUGAGUGAUGAAGGCCUUAGGGUUGUAAAGCUCUUUUAUCCGGGAAGAUAAUGACUGUACCGGAAGAAUAAGCCCCGGCUAACUUCGUGCCAGCAGCCGCCGUAA